UAAUUCUCAGCCCUUUGGGCUGGACUUUGGACGCUGCGGGAGCCUCUUCCGCUCGUCUCAAAUGCAUUAGCGGGGUUUCGAGACCCAUUGCUGGCGUUUAGUAAUGCUUGCGCCGCGCGGGGUGCUCGUCCGCUCACUAGCUCGUGGACUUUUCCACGCUUUUGACUU
RNAcentral lists this unclassified non-coding RNA (168 nucleotides) under uncultured Agaricomycetes. RNAcentral describes it as "sequence contains ITS2". The record is from RNAcentral. Lineage: Eukaryota; Fungi; Basidiomycota; Agaricomycetes.